AUGGAGUAUCUGUACAUCACUGGGUUUGGGUGUCUUAUCACUGAUAAGAUCACGAUGCCGAGAUUUCCCCGAGCGCGCGUGGUGUGUUUAUUUAUCCUCUAUGCUGGCUUGGUUCAACGCUCAUCCAAAAGGUUAUGUUCCACAAACCUUCAAGUGUUUCCCAACAUGGCGAGUGUUUUACCAGGGAACUCGGCAGGGGUAACCGCGCGUCAUCUGUACGUGGAGCUUCGAGAGAAGAGAGUUAGUCUAAUGCACAACGAUGGUCUCUUGAAAUCCGCGUUGACACGUUUUGCUUUGGGAGAGAGAAGAUUGGCACUUUCAGACAAAGAAAUAAGUGAUAAACUGCAGUCAUUUGGCAGUAAUAUCACUCGCAGAUGGAAGGAUGCAAGACGAGUAGAGGAGUGUUUUUUAAGAAGAAACCAAAAUUUUCUCGAUUCGGUUAUUUUUCCAUUUUCCAAAUAUAAUGAAACCCAGUCUAGUCAAAAAUCUGGUCAAAUGGGACGUCCGAAAAAAUCAUUCUCGGAUUCUUCGGAUAAAACGAAGAAAAGGAGGGUGUCUGAUUUGGUGUCUAACCACGAAGCGGAGCAACUAGCCUUCGCAUCUCAAGUUUGUUUUCGAGAGGAUGGCAUGAGAUCGAAGGCGAGUUUGAUAAAAAAAGUUUCAGAAUCCUCCAACACUGAGUUACAAUCAAUGCAGCAAAUGCUAUCAAAAGAGGAUUCUCCCGCGCCUCUUACGCCCACAGAGGCACUUGGUUUUUUAGUGCAGAACAAAUUAACAAAGAGGCAGUAUAUUCGCACAAGGCUGCUGAGCAAAAAGCAUAAUGCGGACAUUUACCCACCCUACAGUGAGCUUUCACGCAUAAAAGCCGAGUGCUUGCCUGAAUCAAUUAGGGUAACGGAAAUUUCAGCUGAGGUUGAGUUACAGAGUUUACUAGAUAUUACAGCACGGAGGUUACUGGAAGCAGAACAUGUUUCUAUUCUUCCAAAUUUUUAUGACGGUUCGGAGGUCCAUUCUCUGCAACUAAUUUGGAAGUAUGGUUUCGAUGGUUCCAGCAAUCAGGCUGUGUACAAUCAGAGGUUUAGAGAGGAGUUUGGUCAAUGCUCGGACGCUAAUCUGUUUGUCGUCUCUACCAUGCCUUUGGCCUUACAGGCAAUUACAGGAAACCCCUCUUUCCUUUGGAGGAACCCUGCACCAGGAUCCCCUCAAUACUGCCGCCCCUUGAAAUUUGUGUUUCAGAAAGAGUCUGCAGACCUAACCGUAGAAUUUCAUCAGUCGCUGAAACAUGAAAUUGAGAGAGUCCAACCCACUGAAGUUACGAUAAAAGGCAUUAAUUUUAGAGUGAGCCACGAUUUAAAAUUGACAAUGAUCGACACUAAAGUUAGCAAUGCCAUGGCAAAUGUCAAGUCAGCUCAAACUUGUUUCUUAUGUGGGGCGAAUCCAACGGAUAUGAAUAACCUAGAUAAAGUCAUCAAAAGGCCCGUGCGCAAAGAAUUAUUAGCACUUGGUAUGUCCUCGCUUCAUGCCUGGAUUAAAAUGUACGAAAACUUGUUGCACGUGAGUUAUCGGCUGUCAAAUAAAAAAUGGCGUUCCACCACUCCAGAAGAUCACGCAAGUGUAGCAAAAGAAAAAUCUCGUAUUCAAGAAGAAUUCAAGGCUUACAACGGACUCCAAAUUGACAUGCCUAGGCAAGGAGGUGGAAAUUCCAAUUGCGGAAAUACUGCUCGCCGAUUUUUUAAGGACGCCAAUGGAACUGCUAAAAUUACCGGACUUGACGAAGGAUUGAUUCGCCGGUUCCAUGUUAUUCUCACGACUAUUGCCAGUGGUUUUGCCAUUGAUGUGGAAGCAUUUCGUGUGUACUGUUUUGAGACAGCUCAAUUGUACGUUAAGUUGUACGGUUGGUACUACAUGUCUGCCACCACGCAUAAAGUGCUUAUUCAUGGAGCAGAUAUAAUUGCUACAUUCCCUUUGCCGAUUGGAGUUUUCACCGAAGAGGCCUCUGAAGCAGGGAAUCAAAUUCAUCGACUCUUCAGGCGACACUUUGCGCGGAAAACUAGUCGGAAGGAUACAAAUUCCGACAUUUUUACUAGGCUGCUAAUUUCCUCCGACCCAGUGAUUAUUAAGUCACAGAUGAAGAACCGGAGGAAGAAGAAGAAAUUGCCCCUGGAGGCAGUUGCCUUGCUGAAAGAAGCACCGGAGGACCUGGUAAUUGAAAAGGAGAAAGAUAACACGGCAUCGACUUCACAAGAAGACAAGGACGAAGAGGAUGAAGAAGAAGAUGAAGAGAGUGAAGAAAACCGAAGACGAGGAGAAUGAGGAAGACGAAGACGAGGAGAAUGAAGAAGACGAAGAUGAAGAGGAUACAGAGGACGAGACAGAUGGAGAGAAAGAAGACGAGGAGUUUGAAGACACCGAUAGUGAAGGAGAGUGAUCUCAAUUUGAUGAUCAUAUUAUAGAAUUUUUUUACUGUGAUGUUAUUUUCAUUAUUUUGUUUAGGAUUACUAUUUCAAUGUUUUUUGUGGCCUUACUGUAUUUUCAGUAUUUUAUUUUGGUAUAUCCAUAG
RNAcentral lists this long non-coding RNA (2560 nucleotides) under Bemisia tabaci. RNAcentral's name for it is "lncRNA ENSSSA1UGG001494". Lineage: Eukaryota; Metazoa; Arthropoda; Insecta; Hemiptera; Aleyrodidae. The record is from RNAcentral.